Molecule: ribosomal RNA, 273 nt
Filed under: uncultured prokaryote
Description: partial 16S ribosomal RNA
Rfam family: Bacterial small subunit ribosomal RNA
Source: RNAcentral
UACGUAGGGUGCGAGCGUUAAUCGGAAUUACUGGGCGUAAAGCGUGCGCAGGCGGCUUUGUAAGACAGAUGUGAAAUCCCCGGGCUCAACCUGGGAACUGCAUUUGUGACUGCAAGGCUAGAGUGCGUCAGAGGGAGGUGGAAUUCCGCGUGUAGCAGUGAAAUGCGUAGAGAUGCGGAGGAACACCGAUGGCGAAGGCAGCCUCCUGGGAUGACACUGACGCUCAUGCACGAAAGCGUGGGGAGCAAACAGGAUUAGAAACCCUAGUAGUCC